AACGAACGCUGGCGGCAGGCCUAACACAUGCAAGUCGAGCGAGGACUUCGGUCCUAGCGGCGGACGGGUGAGUAACGCGUGGGAACGUGCCCUUUGCUUCGGAAUAGCCCUGGGAAACUGGGAGUAAUACCGGAUGAGCCCUUUGGGGGAAAGAUUUAUCGGCGAAGGAUCGGCCCGCGUUGGAUUAGGUAGUUGGUGGGGUAAUGGCCUACCAAGCCGACGAUCCAUAGCUGGGUUGAGAGGAUGAGCAGCCACACUGGGACUGAGACACGGCCCAGACUCCUACGGGAGGCAGCAGUGGGGAAUCUUAGACAAUGGGGGAAACCCUGAUCUAGCCAUGCCGCGUGAGCGAUGAAGGCCUUAGGGUUGUAAAGCUCUUUCAGCUGGGAAGAUAAUGACGGUACCAGCAGAAGAAGCCCCGGCUAACUCCGUG
This 433-nucleotide ribosomal RNA is filed under the name uncultured bacterium. RNAcentral's name for it is "partial 16S ribosomal RNA". It matches the Rfam family "Bacterial small subunit ribosomal RNA", at positions 29 to 507 of the family's 1533-position model. The record is from RNAcentral.